AUCCAGUUUGCUACUACCAAAUUCCCCACCAUCCUUAUCAUGUCGCUCGCUCCACCAAAUUCCCCACCAUCGUCUUCCUUGCCCGAGCUCCUCCCAGGCUCCCACCACCAUCUCUUCUCGGGCCACCAUCCCCACCUUCCCAUCCCGUUCAGGGGCAUCUUCGUUGGAAGCGGUGGCAGGGUGCAGUGAGGUCGCAGGGUGAGGCGUGCUGCUACGAGGCCGAGGCCAUGGGGGCGCUGCUAUGAGCUGCCCCUGGCCAUGAGAGAAGCUCCGAGCGGCAAGGCGUCUUGCGACCACCGGCUCGCACGAUGCUACAAACAGUUUGCGUGAUGCGGCAACCGGCGUAGCACCCUGCUACUACUGCUGUCACCGCUGCUAGAGCUCUCCGAGGCCAGCCACGGCAACCAUCGAUGCUGAAAGUUGCAACCACCUCUGCACGGAGCUGGAACCGCGGCGCCGAAUCAGGAAAGCUGCAACCACCCAGUUUUGCAUUUUUUUGCUACAACCGUUUAUUUUUUUUGCUGGAACCAGCACCACUUUUUGUUACCACCGACGCUUUGGGUUUCCUAGAACCAGCGCUCGAUUUUGUAUUUUUGCUACCGUAGGCAUUUUGGUUUGCUGGAACGAGCUUCAUUAUUUGCUACCACCGGCAUUUUCGUUUUGCUUUAACAUUGUUCAAUUUUGUAUAUUUUGCUACCAUCGUUUCUGGGUUUGCUGGAACCAGUGCCAUUUUUUGC
This 737-nucleotide ribosomal RNA is filed under the name Triticum aestivum (bread wheat). Its description in RNAcentral is "partial small subunit ribosomal RNA". The record is from RNAcentral. Lineage: Eukaryota; Viridiplantae; Streptophyta; Magnoliopsida; Poales; Poaceae.